This 253-nucleotide ribosomal RNA is filed under the name uncultured bacterium. RNAcentral describes it as "partial 16S ribosomal RNA". It matches the Rfam family "Bacterial small subunit ribosomal RNA", at positions 524 to 776 of the family's 1533-position model. The record is from RNAcentral.
UACGUAGGUGGCAAGCGAUACUCGGAAUCACUAGGCGUAAAGCGCAGGUAGGCGGUUUGGUAAGUCUUUUGUGAAAGCUCCCGGCUUAACUGGGAGAGGUCAAGGGAAACUACCGGACUAGAGUGUGGUAGGGGAUACUGGAAUUCCUGGUGUAGCGGUGAAAUGCGUAGAUAUCAGGAGGAAUACCUAUGGCGAAAGCAGGUAUCUGGGCCAUCACUGACGCUGAGCUGCGAAAGCUAGGGGAGCGAACAGG